RNAcentral lists this long non-coding RNA (334 nucleotides) under Equus asinus (donkey). Its description in RNAcentral is "lncRNA (ENSEASG00005029503.1)". The record is from RNAcentral. Lineage: Eukaryota; Metazoa; Chordata; Mammalia; Perissodactyla; Equidae.
UUUAAAUUAGGUGGCAGAGAGAGGGGAGACUUCCAAUCUAUAUAACUUUGGAAAUGAGUGGAGUGUGUAAAUCCAAAGGCAAAGGAAGUUAACAGAGGGACUCUGCUGAGCAGUAUGACAGAUUUCCUGCAUCACCACGGCAUUGGGCAGAGAAGGUGGCAAAAGGCACUCUGGUCUUUCAAGUUUCCCCACGUAAGGAGCACAUUUCUGUUUACAUGGCAUCGACCAAAGCAAUUCCCAUGGUUACUACAAACUCUGAAGAGUGCUGGAGAGUUCAACUUUUCCAUUAGCCUGGAAAAACAGAGCUGUAAAUAUUUGUUAAACAGUAUUGAUG